Molecule: unclassified non-coding RNA, 341 nt
Filed under: plant metagenome
Description: partial contains small subunit ribosomal RNA, internal transcribed spacer 1, and 5.8S ribosomal RNA
Source: RNAcentral
UUUCCGUAGGUGAACCUGCGGAAGGAUCAUUAUCGAAUAGCAAUCCGGGGGGGAGCCCACCGAGCGAAGUUUAGUAGAUCGUAGGGAUUGUCGCUGGCCUUUGGAAACGAAGGCAUGUGCACGUUCCGAGUUCUCCUUAGUCCUCCUUUGCCUUUCCUUUGGAAGACCCUUUCUUCACACCCGUGCACACAUUGUAGGUCGCCGCGAGGGGAUCUAUGUCUUCACAAAACUCUACGUAUGUCCAGGAAUGUAUCUAAAGCGUCAAACGGCUCGGCUCCAUGCACGGUCGCCGAAGGUAAAGAACCAUAAUACAACUUUCAGCAACGGAUCUCUUGGCUCUC